AACGAACGCUGGCGGCAUGCCUAACACAUGCAAGUCGAACGAGACCUUCGGGUCUAGUGGCGCACGGGUGCGUAACGCGUGGGAACCUGCCCUUAGGUUCGGAAUAACUCCCCGAAAGGGGUGCUAAUACCGGAUAAUGUCUUCGGACCAAAGAUUUAUCGCCUUUGGAUGGGCCCGCGUUGGAUUAGCGAGUUGGUAGGGUAAAAGCCUACCAAGGCGACGAUCCAUAGCUGGUCUGAGAGGAUGAUCAGCCACACUGGGACUGAGACACGGCCCAGACUCCUACGGGAGGCAGCAGUGGGGAAUAUUGGACAAUGGGCGAAAGCCUGAUCCAGCAAUGCCGCGUGAGUGAUGAAGGCCUUAGGGUUGUAAGCUCUUUUACCCGGGAUGAUAAUGACAGUACCGGGAGAAUAAGCUCCGGCUAACUCCGUG
This 432-nucleotide ribosomal RNA is filed under the name uncultured bacterium. RNAcentral's name for it is "partial 16S ribosomal RNA". It matches the Rfam family "Bacterial small subunit ribosomal RNA", at positions 29 to 507 of the family's 1533-position model. The record is from RNAcentral.